RNAcentral lists this ribosomal RNA (432 nucleotides) under uncultured bacterium. RNAcentral's name for it is "partial 16S ribosomal RNA". It matches the Rfam family "Bacterial small subunit ribosomal RNA", at positions 29 to 507 of the family's 1533-position model. The record is from RNAcentral.
AACGAACGCUGGCGGCAUGCCUAACACAUGCAAGUCGAACGAGACCUUCGGGUCUAGUGGCGCACGGGUGCGUAACGCGUGGGAACCUGCCCUUAGGUUCGGAAUAACUCCCGAAAGGGGUGCCAAAACCGGAUAAAGUCCUUGGAACAAAGAUUUAUCGCCUUUGGAUGGGCCCGCGUUGGAUUAGCUAGUUGGUAGGGUAAAAGCCUACCAAGGCGACGAUCCAUAGCUGGUCUGAGAGGAUGAUCAGCCACACUGGGACUGAGACACGGCCCAGACUCCUACGGGAGGCAGCAGUGGGGAAUAUUGGACAAUGGGCGAAAGCCUGAUCCAGCAAUGCCGCGUGAGUGAUGAAGGCCUUAGGGUUGUAAAGCUCUUUUACCCGGGAUGAUAAUGACAGUACCGGGAGAAUAAGCUCCGGCUAACUCCGUG